This 461-nucleotide ribosomal RNA is filed under the name uncultured bacterium. RNAcentral describes it as "SSU rRNA". It matches the Rfam family "Bacterial small subunit ribosomal RNA", at positions 26 to 518 of the family's 1533-position model. The record is from RNAcentral.
AGGAUAAACGCUGGCGGCGUGCCUAACACAUGCAAGUCGAACGUCCUACGCAAGUAGGGAGUGGCGGACGGGUGAGUAACACGUGGGCAAUCUACCUUUCGGUGAGGAAUACCGGCGAGAAAUCGCCGACAAUACCGCAUACGCUUCGCAAGAAGCAAAGUCGCAAGACGCCGGAGGAGGAGCCUGCGCCCGAUUAGCUCGUUGGUGGAGUAAUGGUCUACCAAGGCGACGAUCGGUAGCUGGUCUGAGAGGAUGAUCAGCCACACUGGGAUUGAGAACGGCCCAGACUCCUACGGGGGGCAGCAGUGAGGAAUUUUCCGCAAUGGGCGCAAGCCUGACGGAGCAAUGCCGCGUGAAGGAAGAAGGCCCGUGGGUUGUAAACUUCUUUUCUUAGAGAAGAAUCCGAGAGGAGGACGGUAUUUGAGGAAUAAGCAUCGGCUAACCCUGUGCCAGCACGCCGC